UUGAACCAGUUUAAAAGUCUUGUAGUAUGUUUAAUUUUUGUUUUUGGGGUGGUGUGUUAUUGUGUGUAGGUGCUGUGAUUAGUACUUGGAGUUUAAUUUCUUGUGGUGGAGCAGUCUGAGCAACAAUCCUCUCUGGUUCAGCAAACGGAGGAAGCUUCUUGCAAGAGUUACUACAAAAACUUAAAAGAAAAGAGGAGAGCUUUUUGUAGACUAUGAACCUUGCUAUCCAUUUUUUUUCCAAGGCAGAGUCUUCAAGUGAAACAAACUCAAGCCAAAACCAGCAUUCAGAGAAUGGAUGUUUGCUCUGUACUUCAGGAACAGAAAUAAUGAACAGAAAAACAAAACAAAGCAAAUGUAAAUGGUCCUGGCUGGAAUUGUCAGGAGAACCAGGAGUGAGAAAUAAAUGGGAACACCUAUAAAGAUGAUCACAACCUCUUUGGAUCCCUCAUCUCAUGACAUCACCUGACCAGAAUACCUGCAGUUUAAUAGGAUUUAUUAGUUGCUUAACCACAGCUGUAUACAGUGAAGUUUAUACUCUGCUGAUCACAGAAAUUUGGGGGGGUUUUAUAGGUGAAGAUAAGGAAUUCCCUUACUUUUUUAUUUUUCCUUCAAACACAAAUCUGACUGAAGAGCCUGGUGAAUCUCAAUUCUUUUCCCAAGAACCCAUGAAUAUAUGAAGAUAUUCAGAUGUGCUGUGUGAGAACAAAUAUCAAUGUAGAUCAUCUCCAGCAGUGCCCAAACCUAGCUGCCAAAGGAAUAAGGCUAGGGGGAGAACAAAGAUUACAGAAGAGACUGUGAAAAUAUGCUAGGGACUGGAAGAAUAUUUGAGGUAAACUUGAACUCUGAGCCUUCCUGAGUCAGAUGUGGUUUUGCUGUUUUCAGUAAUCCUC
This is a non-coding RNA of Cyanistes caeruleus (blue tit), 890 nucleotides long. The record is from RefSeq and is a predicted model, not a curated record. NCBI's taxonomy places the organism in Eukaryota, Metazoa, Chordata, Aves, Passeriformes, Paridae.